Molecule: ribosomal RNA, 250 nt
Filed under: uncultured prokaryote
Description: partial 16S ribosomal RNA
Rfam family: Bacterial small subunit ribosomal RNA
Source: RNAcentral
UACGGAGGAUGCAAGCGUUAUCCGGAUUUAUUGGGUUUAAAGGGUGCGUAGGCUGUUCGUCAAGUCAGAGGUGAAAUACCACAGCUUAACUGUGGAACUGCCUUUGAUACUGGCGAGCUGGAAUACGGAUGCCGUGGGAGGAAUGAGUAGUGUAGCGGUGAAAUGCAUAGAUAUUACUCAGAACACCGAUUGCGAAGGCAUCUCACGAAUCCGUCAUUGACGCUGAGGCACGAAAGCGUGGGGAUCAAAC